Long non-coding RNA from Passer domesticus (house sparrow), 666 nucleotides. RefSeq lists it as uncharacterized. Lineage: Eukaryota; Metazoa; Chordata; Aves; Passeriformes; Passeridae. The transcript is spliced from 4 exons. The record is from RefSeq and is a predicted model, not a curated record.
CACCUACCACGGGAUUCCCAGAGGACAAGAGCUAAAAAACCACCACUGGAGAAGGAUCAGAUCUUUCUCCAGGAUCACCACGUUGACAGAACCACAUCCAUCAAUCCAGCAGGACUGCAGCCACCAUUUAAUCACCACCCUGACCAGCAGGGUGUCAGAAAACACAUAAAGUACUGGAGACUGCAACAACCAAAUCAGAAACUCUGCAGAACACCAGUCUAUUCAUAAAGACCUGAUUUGCACGUUCUCAGCACUUGGCUUCCUUUGAAUGGGAUUAGAUGGCACAAUCUCUUUUCACACUGCAUGGAGCUGAAGCUCCUGCUUCACAAACAAAUACAACCCUGAGCUUCCCAAAAUGGAAGGUAAUAACGUAUUUGUAUUUCUUUCCAAGCUGAUUUCUUUUACUCAUCUAACUUCAGAAUGAUUGAGGAACAAGCAAGCUGCAGCUAUAGAUUAGCACCUACUCAUAUCCACCCACGUGACAGGAUGAAAAGAGAAGGAGAACAAUGGAUAUUUUGGAUAUUUGCCAACAAUGGAUGUAUUGCCAGCUAAGAAAACGCCAGGAGCAGAAGGCAGAGGGGGAAGCUCUCCUCCCAAGUGAGGGUUGAGGCAAGAUCAAUCUGCUUCUUGAAGUACUGAGGCCUUUCACAGAAAUGAAAAAACAAC